CCUGGCUCAGGAUGAACGCUGGCGGCGUGCCUAAUACAUGCAAGUCGAGCGAAUGGAUUAAGAGCUUGCUCUUAUGAAGUUAGCGGCGGACGGGUGAGUAACACGUGGGUAACCUGCCCAUAAGACUGGGAUAACUCCGGGAAACCGGGGCUAAUACCGGAUAACAUUUUGAACCGCAUGGUUCGAAAUUGAAAGGCGGCUUCGGCUGUCACUUAUGGAUGGACCCGCGUCGCAUUAGCUAGUUGGUGAGGUAACGGCUCACCAAGGCAACGAUGCGUAGCCGACCUGAGAGGGUGAUCGGCCACACUGGGACUGAGACACGGCCCAGACUCCUACGGGAGGCAGCAGUAGGGAAUCUUCCGCAAUGGACGAAAGUCUGACGGAGCAACGCCGCGUGAGUGAUGAAGGCUUUCGGGUCGUAAAACUCUGUUGUUAGGGAAGAACAAGUGCUAGUUGAAUAAGCUGGCACCUUGACGGUACCAACCAGAAAGCC
This 493-nucleotide ribosomal RNA is filed under the name Bacillus cereus. RNAcentral's name for it is "bacterial SSU rRNA". It matches the Rfam family "Bacterial small subunit ribosomal RNA", at positions 18 to 492 of the family's 1533-position model. Lineage: Bacteria; Bacillati; Bacillota; Bacilli; Caryophanales; Bacillaceae. The record is from RNAcentral.